Molecule: transfer RNA, 4088 nt
Filed under: Salmo trutta (river trout)
Lineage: Eukaryota; Metazoa; Chordata; Actinopteri; Salmoniformes; Salmonidae
Description: lncRNA (ENSSTUG00000047962.1)
Source: RNAcentral
AUGGCCUGCCCGCAGUGCCCGGCCCCUGGGUCCUACACCUCGGUCAUUAUCCCUCUCCGGAGCAGCCUCUACAGCCUUGACGCCCUACGCUUCUACCUAUGGAUAAAGAGGCUGAAGGACUUGGAAAGGGAGAAGGAUUCUCUGUGGGCCGGGCUGCAGGUUCUGGAGCAAGCCCGGAUCUGGUACCGACGCAUACUGGAGGACAACAGAGCCAGGCAGGCUAACAUGUGCACCAGGGCUGGGGCUAGGGCAAAGGAGUGGGGAGGAGAGGUUUGGGGAAGAGCGGGGGCGUCAUCGUGCCUCCUGAGGUCUCAGAUCCAGAGGGUGAAUGGAUCUUUGGGUAGUCUGAUGAGUAUGCCCAACGUAACCAGCUGUCCCUCCUCUCCAAAGAGGGACGGGGUGGAAGUAUCAGACAGUGAGCUACGGUGGCAGAACACGGUACUGGUACAGGAGGUGAGUGAGAAGAAUGUUCAAAUAUCCCUGUUGGAGCGGGAGAGAGACAGCCUUUUGCAAGAGCUGAGUCUGCGUCUGGGUGUAGAAGUGUAGUGGGCAUCCUGACUGAGUUGUUUGUACACUGCUAUCAAGCCCGUUUCACUGCUAUCACACAUGAACACACACGUGACUAAACACUGCCUCAUAACUCUUCAGCUAAAGUUCUUCAAUGUCAUGAUUUCAUUGUCUCUCACCACUGUAAAUAUGUUUGAAAAAGAAUCAUUCAAUAUACUGAAUGUACAAAGACUAUGAGUGUGUUAUUGUCUCUUUGUCUUGUUCAGUCCUGUGGAAUGGUUUGCUGAAUAACCAGACUGACAUGUCGGAUCAUCACCUCAGGCUCGGGUCCUCACCUUCCAAACUGAUAUGCAAAUGCUAAGUGGUCUUAGCCUAAUUAUGUAGGUCGUCUAUUGUACAUGUACCACCUGUGAAACACAGAGCAACACCAAAUAUCCCCAGAAGGGGGCAGUAGACCCUCAGCUAUGCAUAUGCUGCAGUUCAAAAUCUACAAUCAAAACAUAAGCAGAGAGACAAACUAUAAUAUUUCAAUGAUUGUCCAGUUAUAUGAUUUUUUUUUUAAAGAGAUUGAAAAGGCCAUCUGUAUCUCCAAGAACACUGCAAUCUGAUACACCAACUGCAAUCUGAUACACCAGAUUUGUCUCUGAGCAGUAGCCAGUACCCAGCCAGCACCCUAUACCCUCCUCUCUGUCACCGUUCAUCACAGUUCACGUUUCCGCCACAAGCCUGUGAGGUUUCUGUCGAUACACGUUACCGCUCCUCCACCGGUGGUCCCGCACUGAUGUUGCCUCAGCUGAUAAGACUUAUCUAGCCUCUCUAUCACUGACACAUGGCUGGCACACACACACACACACACACACACACACACACACACACACACACACACACACACACACACACACACACACACACACACACACACAUACACACACACACACACACACACACACACACCUCAUGAGGAUAAACACACUUAGGCAGCCAUGCCCUGCAGUCCAUCUAUUUGCACAAACACUAUCAGACUAAAUAUCAUUACCCUUCUGGCUUUUAUGGGCUAUCAUGAACAGUAGCUUUGGGAAUGUUGCUUUGGGAAUACUAGUGCAGUCUACUAUAUGGCAGCAGCCUUAUUUAUCUAACGUUCUAGUACUUCCUUGCUAUGUUUUCUUCCUACUCCUGUUUUCAUUGUUCUCGCUAUCUUCUGGAGAUGUGGACCUGUAAUCUUGUUGUGGGUGAUCUUCAUCAAAUAGGGAGAAUGGCGGUGUCAUUGUCCCCCAGAGAGUGUUUAUGCUUUACCGAUACUGGCCUUGUGUCUCUGCUCAUUUGUUUGGCCCAGAGAAGUAAUGUUGAUGUUGUUUGUCUGUGUUUGGAAUUAUACAUAUCCCACCAAAGAUGUAUAGUUACCCCACAAAGAGAGCGAGAGAAGCAGGGCACUGGGAUGGACAUACCCACGCACUGCACAUUUCCCAAGGUACGUAUAAUGUGCUGCCAUCGGCCAAAGUUUUCAGAUUACGACGACUGCCUGAAACUCACAUUUGAAAAGCACCUAUUGGACUGAGAGAGGAGGCUUGCUCAGUCAGCUUGGACAUUAAAGUUGAAUGCUGCUGAAUUGUCACACCAACACAUCAAAUACGGUAUGUUGCACAAAGGUCUACAUUUCUUUGGCCAAACGAUACUGAUAAAAUUUGUUUUGCAUUGGAUUGCAUUCAUAAAUACAACCACAUCCAAACCUUUUGUGACAACGAGAGAAAAAUAAAUUGCACAUCUCUGGGCAACCAAGGAAUGUGUUUGACUGUGAUUAAAAUCUCUGUGAAAAAAAAGAAAACAUCCGUUACGGAACGUGCUUUCGUAUAAGUAGCUCCUGUUCCCUCUCUACAGGACUGCCAGUGAACCAUCAAGGCCCUGGGUACCAGCACUCUGCUAAUUAUUGGUUCUAAUUCCCACCGCAGAGCCAAACAACCUUUUAUUGAGGAUGUCACGCUUCUAUGACACUGACAAUCAUUCUUCCUUUGCCAGCAUGGUUCAGUGACUAUCAACACUGCUGGUCUCCCACUUAAUCUAUCCUGUACCUGUUAUGAUUUAUUUUCUUAUUCUGUGUGUUUUCCUAGAGAUGUAUUGAUUUUAAUCUAUGGCUUUCCUCUUAAGGAGAAUAAGGAUAUACGUGCACCUACUUCCCUGCAGGUCUGUAGAGGUGUGAAAUAUAAACAGAUAAGUAGUUGGAUGGCUUUCUCUCAGGUGCUGAAGGUUUUUAAUGCAUUCCUGAGACUAUUAGGAUGGAGAACUUCCUGCACACCCUCAGAUGGCACCCUCAGAUGGUUACUAGCUUUGAAGUCCUCCGGAAGUCUAAUAUACUUCACAGGGGGUCUAAAUGAAUCUAUAACAACUCCAAGAUGUUUUUAUCUCCAAGAUGUAUUGCAGUAAAACUGUAGUGUUGCGUUUGCAUCAACAAAGUCCUGUGUAUUUUCUUUUCUUGGCUGCCUGGUAAUAUCAGAUAAUGGAUGUGUUUGUUUGUGACAACUGGAUAAUGGUGUCCAUUUCAUUAACAAAAUGAUACUGAAAGUACUGUACAUCCUAUUUUAAUACUUGUUGUAAUAUGGUGUCCCAAAAGGGCACCAACACAGAAAAUAAGUGUCACAUUUCAUACCUGCCAAAGAUUAUGCUAAAACUAAUUAAAAAGUGUCAAUCAUCCACACAUAAUAAAGUGUGAUAGAUGUUAACCUAUUAGUCAGAGUGUAUUGUGUAAACAGACAUGAGAUACACACUUCCAAUGUAUAUAUCACUCCAGGCUCUCCUGUCCUCAAGGCAUUGAUGUUCAGGCCUACUCUCCCCUGGACUGAGUUCAAAUGCUGAGAGGAUGGAUGAAUCAAAUCAACUUGCUUUCAGUCCAUCACAUCAGUGUCAAAUAGCUAAGGAUGAAACAUUAUUAAUUCUCUCAACCAAAAAAGUUUGGAGAUUUUUUUCUCCAAUCAUUUUACUGGCACACUGACACAAUGGAACGUGUCAAAAGGAAUGUAGACCUACACAAUUAUAUCUCUAGUGACCUGUUUUCGACCUGGGAGUGAUGAGAUGACACUGUAUAUUUACAUUUUAGUCAUUUAGCAGACGCUCUUAUCCAGAGCAACUUACAGUAGUGAAUGCAUACAUUUCAUACAUUUUUUUUUUUCCUGUGCUGGCCCCCCGUGGGAAUCGAACCCACAACCCUGGUGUUGCAAACACCAUGCUCUACCAACUGAGCUACAGGGAAGGCUGUAUAUGUGCAAUGCAUUGCAAACCACGUACUGUCUACGCCUCACACUGGUUUAGACGGCGGCAGGGUAGCCUAGUGGUUAGAGCGUUGGGCUAGUAACCGAAAGGUUGCAAGUUUGAAUCCCCGAGCUGACAAGGUCAAAAUCUGUCGUUCUGCCCACUAUUCCCCGGGCGCCGUGGAUGUCGAUUAUGGCAGCCCCCCGCACCUCUCUGAUUCAGAGGGGUUGGGUUAAAUGCGGUUGAAUGCAUUAAGUUGUACAACUGACUAAUAAGUCCCCUUAUCAAACAACAAUACCUCAUCCCUGGGGCUGGUCUGGGAUGCACUGUCUCCAUGAGAG